GGGCGGUUAGCUCAGGGGUAGAGCAACUCGUUUACACCGAGAAGGUCGGGAGUUCGAAUCUCUCACCGCCCA
Molecule: transfer RNA, 72 nt
Filed under: Candidatus Andersenbacteria bacterium CG10_big_fil_rev_8_21_14_0_10_54_11
Lineage: Bacteria; Candidatus Anderseniibacteriota
Description: tRNA-Val
Rfam family: tRNA
About the family: Transfer RNA (tRNA) molecules are approximately 80 nucleotides in length. Their secondary structure includes four short double-helical elements and three loops (D, anti-codon, and T loops).
Source: RNAcentral